GAUGAACGCUGGCGGCGUGCCUAAUACAUGCAAGUCGAGCGAACAGACGAGGAGCUUGCUCCUCUGAUGUUAGCGGCGGACGGGUGAGUAACACGUGGAUAACCUACCUAUAAGACUGGGAUAACUUCGGGAAACCGGAUCUAAUACCAGAUAACAUGUUGAACCGCAUGGUUCAACAGUGAAAGACGGUCUUGCUGUCACUUAUAGAUGGAUCCGCGCCGCAUUAGCUAGUUGGUAAGGUAACGGCUUACCAAGGCAACGAUGCGUAGCCGACCUGAGAGGGUGAUCGGCCACACUGGAACUGAGACACGGUCCAGACUCCUACGGGAGGCAGCAGUAGGGAAUCUUCCGCAAUGGGCGAAAGCCUGACGGAGCAACGCCGCGUGAGUGAAGAAGGUCUUCGGAUCGUAAAACUCUGUUAUUAGGGAAGAACAAAUGUGGAAGUAACUAUGCACGUCUUGACGGUACCUAAUCAGAAAGCCACGGCUAACUACGUG
This 497-nucleotide ribosomal RNA is filed under the name uncultured bacterium. Its description in RNAcentral is "partial 16S ribosomal RNA". It matches the Rfam family "Bacterial small subunit ribosomal RNA", at positions 28 to 507 of the family's 1533-position model. The record is from RNAcentral.